Molecule: ribosomal RNA, 815 nt
Filed under: Escherichia coli
Lineage: Bacteria; Pseudomonadati; Pseudomonadota; Gammaproteobacteria; Enterobacterales; Enterobacteriaceae
Description: partial 23S ribosomal RNA
Rfam family: Bacterial large subunit ribosomal RNA
Source: RNAcentral
GGUUAAGCGACUAAGCGUACACGGUGGAUGCCCUGGCAGUCAGAGGCGAUGAAGGACGUGCUAAUCUGCGAUAAGCGUCGGUGAGGUGAUAUGAACCGUUAUAACCGGCGAUUUCCGAAUGGGGAAACCCAGUGUGUUUCGACACACUAUCAUUAACUGAAUCCAUAGGUUAAUGAGGCGAACCGGGGGAACUGAAACAUCUAAGUACCCCGAGGAAAAGAAAUCAACCGAGAUUCCCCCAGUAGCGGCGAGCGAACGGGGAGGAGCCCAGAGCCUGAAUCAGUGUGUGUGUUAGUGGAAGCGUCUGGAAAGGCGCGCGAUACAGGGUGACAGCCCCGUACACAAAAAUGCACAUAUUGUGAGCUCGAUGAGUAGGGCGGGACACGUGGUAUCCUGUCUGAAUAUGGGGGGACCAUCCUCCAAGGCUAAAUACUCCUGACUGACCGAUAGUGAACCAGUACCGUGAGGGAAAGGCGAAAAGAACCCCGGCGAGGGGAGUGAAAAAGAACCUGAAACCGUGUACGUACAAGCAGUGGGAGCCUCUUAAUGGGGUGACUGCGUACCUUUUGUAUAAUGGGUCAGCGACUUAUAUUCUGUAGCAAGGUUAACCGAAUAGGGGAGCCGAAGGGAAACCGAGUCUUAACUGGGCGUUAAGUUGCAGGGUAUAGACCCGAAACCCGGUGAUCUAGCCAUGGGCAGGUUGAAGGUUGGGUAACACUAACUGGAGGACCGAACCGACUAAUGUUGAAAAAUUAGCGGAUGACUUGUGGCUGGGGGUGAAAGGCCAAUCAAACCGGGAGAUAGCUGGUUCUCCC